This 497-nucleotide ribosomal RNA is filed under the name uncultured bacterium. RNAcentral's name for it is "partial 16S ribosomal RNA". It matches the Rfam family "Bacterial small subunit ribosomal RNA", at positions 28 to 507 of the family's 1533-position model. The record is from RNAcentral.
GCUGAACGCUGGCGGCGUGCCUAAUACAUGCAAGUCGAGCGAGCAGACGAGGAGUUUGCUCCUCUGACGUGUGCGGCCAGCGGGUGAGUAACAUGUGGAUAACCUACCUAUUAGGUUGUGAUACCUUCGGGAAUCCGGAAUUAAUCCCCGAUAACUUAUUCAACCGCAUGGUUUACUUGUGAAAGACGGUUUUGGCGUCACUUAUUGCUGGUUUCGCGCUGUAUUAGCUAGUUGUUAAUUCAACGGCUUUCCUAGUCUACGUUGCGUAGCCGAUGUCAGAGGGUGAACGGCCACACUGGGAGUGAGACACGGUCCAGACUCCUACGGGAGGCAGGAGUAGGGAAUCUUCGGCAAUGGGCGAAAUCAUGACGAAGCAACGCCGCGUGAGUGAUGAAGGUCUUCGGAUCGUAAAACUCUAUUAUUAGGGAAGGACAAAUAUGUAAGUACCUAUGCACGUCUUGACGGUACCUGAUCAGAAAGCCACGGCUAACUACGUG